GAAAUAAAUACUAAAAUACGAAACUUUGUCAAAAAUGUUGAAAGUAAAUUGUGUUCAGCGUGAGAAACUACACCAGUAUAUGAAGUUUCAAACUGUUUAGUUAAAAAAAGAAAAUCAAAAAUCUGUGGUCCAAACGAAGUCGUUUGAAACCAAUAUUUAAACCAUAUGCAGCGCAUACAUUGGGAAAGACACCCAAUAACGCUAAGUAUGCCCUUCGCAGAAUGAGCCCAAAACCUGUUCAUUGACAUAUAAGAACUCUGACAAAAGGCUAAUUGUUUAGUUUUAAUAAUAUUCCAGUUAUACACUUUACCGCGUAAUUAAGUGGCUGUCAUUACUUUCUAUAGUUUAAUAUAUUCAUCAUUUUUAAACAUUCCUUUUCUCCCUCUCCUGCUGCUACCACAUUCACAGUUAAACAGCAUUCUAACUGAAGUAGGUCAUACUUUCAGAACUGUGAGGUUUUCGUGGAGAAUUUACUUUCACUUUAUCAGCCUUCGAGUCAAUUACUACUACAUUCAAUUUGUUUGACGUGGAAUUCAAUUUGUGGAAAGAAUGGGAGAAGCUCAAUCCAAAGUUGGGGAAGUAGUUAAAGUGACAGAAAACCUGACAAAUUUGCAGGCUUUUCAAAGGAGGAAAUAUGGUUCAGUUCCUGAAAAUUUGGAAUACCUUCCCGGUCUCCUUGGUGAAGUAAUAGAAGAAACCGCGUCUGGUUGUAUAGUUGUGAAAUUUGGAUCAAAACUAGGAAAUUUUAUUCUUCCUGCUUCUUAUGUCAGCAGGUACACUAGGAAUUAACAUCCAGAGCGUUCAUUUUUCGGUUGGCUAUAUGGAAAGAAAUAAUUGAAAAGAAUCACAGCAAUGAUGACUCUUCCAUUCCUCUUUUUACUCCUUGACUGUCUCUCUGUUUCCCAGUCUGUCUGUCUGUCUGUCUGUCUGUCUGUCUGUCUGUCUGUUUGCCUGACUGUCUCUAUGUAUGUGUGUGUGUGUGUGUGUGUGUGUGUGUGUGUGUGUGUGUGUGUGCGUGUAUCUUCUUCCUCUUGCUGUCUGAAAUUUGUGCUUUACGUCUUCCGCCAAGAAUACAUAUCACCUCCCCCUAUCUCUCCCUCUUUCUCUGUAUUUCUUGCACAUUUUAACAAAUUUCCUCUUAUCUAUAAUCAUCCUCGGUAACUCCAUAAUUCUUCUUAGAUCCCUCCUUCAUUAUAUACUGACACAGAGACCGAACCUUUCGCUAUGUUCAACUCCCUGCAUCUGGUUAUUUCACCACUUACAUCAAUCUCUGAUCAACAGAUAGGUACCCUUCUACAACACAAGGACAUAUUCACUACCCAUGAUCAACAAACAUAAACGUCACAUACACUAGACCUAACUAUCUCUCAGAGACUUGUGCUGACAAACAUACACCGUUUAAUAUUAAAAAAACAAUGCAUCACUAAGAAUGUUAAUCCACUUCGAGUUCAGAAAAGAUGCUAACUCACAACAAAUCUCUGCUAACUCACAACAAAUCUCUGCUAACUCACAACAAAUUUCUGCUAACUCACAACUAAUCUCAUCCAAAGCCACAGUAAACUACCAAUGCUGAUGCUACACAGGUUAACAACUUAGACAGGCUUCAAAAUAGGCAACUCAUCGUAUGGAUAAAGUUGCUCGCUAUCACUCUAACCUUCAAACCACAAAUGUAAUUUCUUCUUUCUCUUCCUUUUCUAUUUCUACUGAAAUCUCGAUAAUUGCAUAAGAAAAUCCAGUUUCAUUCGUAUCUCUUGCCCUUCGUUCACAUUGUGCUUUUUCUUUUGUCCUAUUUCAACUGGGUGACUGGACAGAUUACCUACUAUGGUAAAUUGUAACAUCGAUCGUUACAACAUCAAUAAAUAUUUUUACAACUUGA
Long non-coding RNA from Octopus bimaculoides (California two-spot octopus), 1876 nucleotides. The record is from RefSeq and is a predicted model, not a curated record. NCBI's taxonomy places the organism in Eukaryota, Metazoa, Mollusca, Cephalopoda, Octopoda, Octopodidae.